AGAGUUUGAUCCUGGCUCAGGACGAACGCUGGCGACGUGGAUAAGGCUUGCAAGUCGAACGGUUCUGAUGAAGUUUACUUUUUCAGAAUAGUGGCAAACGGGGUAGUAACACAUUGGUAACGCACCUCAAAGACAGGGAUAACUCAGAGAAAUUUGAGCUAAUACCUGAUAUGUUAUGACAGCAUAAGUUGUCAUAAUAAAGCUCCGGCGCUUUGAGAGCGGCCUAUGUCCUAUCAGCUUGUUGGCGGGGUAAAAGCCCACCAAGGCUAUGACGGGUAGCUGGUGUGAGAGCACGACCAGCACCACUGGGACUGAGACACUGCCCAGACUCCUACGGGAGGCUGCAGUCGAGAAUCUUCCUCAAUGCACGAAAGUGUGAAGGAGCGACGUCGCGUGACCGAAGAAGCCUUUCGGGGUGUAAAGGUCUUUUAUCAGGGAAGAACUAAUGACGGUACCUGAAGAAUAAGGGGCGGCUAACUUCGUGCCAGAAGCCUCGGUAAUACGAAGGCCCCUAGCGUUGUCCGGAUUUAUUGGGCGUAAAGCGUCCGCAGGUUGUUUAUUAAGUCAGCAGUGAAAUACCUAAGCUCAACUUAGGGAGCGCUGCCGAGACUAGUAAACUAGAGUCCGGGAGAGGCAAGCGGAAUUGCCGGUGUAGCGGUUAAAUGCGUUAAUAUCGGCAGGAACACCAAAUGCGAAGGCAGCUUGCUAGAACGGCACUGACACUCAUGGACGAAAGCGUGGGUAGCGAAUGGGAUUAGAUACCCCAGUAGUCCACGCCGUAAACGAUGGAUACUAGGCAUUGAGAGUAUCGACCCUCUCAGUGUCGCUGAACCAAGCUAACGCGUUAAGUAUCCCGCCUGGGGAGUACGGUCGCAAGACUAAAACUCAAAGGAAUUGACGGGGACCCGCACAAGCGGUGGAGCAUGUGGUUUAAUUCGACAAUAAGCGGAGAACCUUACCAAGGUUUGACAUCUAGCUGCAAAUCCUAGGAAACUAGGACGCCUUCGAGGGUGCUAGACAGGUGAUGCAUGGUUGUCGUCAGCUCGUGUCGUGAGAUGUACGGUUAAGUCCGGAAACGAGCGCAACCCCUGCCCUAAUUUGUAUAUUUAUUAGGGGACUGCCACGUAUAACGUGGAGGAAGGUGGGGAUGACGUCAAAUCAGCAUGUCCCUUACACCUUGGGCUACACACGUGCUACAAUGGCCAGUACAAUGGGACGCCAAGCCGAAAGGUGGAGCAAAUCCCAUCAAAGCUGGUCUCAGUUCGGAUUGAGGUCUGAAAUUCGACCUCAUGAAGUUGGAAUCGCUAGUAACCGCGUAUCAGCCAUGGCGCGGUGAAUACGUUCUCGGGUCUUGUACACACCGCCCGUCACGUCAAGAGAGUCGGCAACAUCCGAAUGUCUGUGUAAGCAGGCAGAAGGUGGGGUCGAUGAUAGGGGCGAAGUCGUAACAAGGCA
This 1455-nucleotide ribosomal RNA is filed under the name metagenome. RNAcentral's name for it is "bacterial SSU rRNA". It matches the Rfam family "Bacterial small subunit ribosomal RNA". The record is from RNAcentral.